UAGCGUAGGAGACGAGCGUUGUCCGGAAUCACUGGGCGUAAAGCGCGUGUAGGGCGGAUCGGCAAGUCUGCUGUGAAAGCUCCUGGCUUAACCGGGAGUGGUCGGUGGAAACUGCCAGUCUGGAGGACGGUAGGGGGUAGGUAGAAUUCCCGGUGUAGUGGUGAAAUGCGUAGAGGAUCGGGAGGAAUACCUGUGGCGAAGGCGGCCUACUGGGCCGGACC
This 221-nucleotide ribosomal RNA is filed under the name uncultured bacterium. RNAcentral describes it as "partial 16S ribosomal RNA". It matches the Rfam family "Bacterial small subunit ribosomal RNA", at positions 523 to 740 of the family's 1533-position model. The record is from RNAcentral.